CUACGGGAGGCAGCAGUGGGGAAUUUUGGACAAUGGGCGAAAGCCUGAUCCAGCAAUGCCGCGUGUGUGAUGAAGGCCUUCGGGUUGUAAAGCACUUUUGGCGGGAACGAAAAGGACCGUGCCAAUACCAUGGUCUGAUGACGGUACCCGCAGAAUAAGCACCGGCUAACUACGUGCCAACAGCCGCGGUAAUACGUAGGGUGCGAGCGUUAAUCGGAAUUACUGGGCGUAAAGAGUGCGCAGGCGGUUUUGCAAGACCGAUGUGAAAUCCCCGGGCUUAACCUGGGAACUGCAUUGGUGACUGCAAGGCUAGAGUGUGUCAGAGGGAGGUGGAAUUCCGCAUGUAGCAGUGAAAUGCGUAGAUAUGCGGAGGAACACCGAUGGCGAAGGCAGCCUCCUGGGAUAACACUGACGCUCAUGCACGAAAGCGUGGGGAGCAAACAGGAUUAGAUACCCUGGUAGUCCACGCCCUAAACGAUGUCUACUAGUUGUCGGGGAUUAAUUUCCUUGGUAACGCAGCUAACGCGUGAAGUAGACCGCCUGGGGAGUACGGUCGCAAGAUUAAAACUCAAAGGAAUUGACGG
This 584-nucleotide ribosomal RNA is filed under the name uncultured Lautropia sp. Its description in RNAcentral is "bacterial SSU rRNA". It matches the Rfam family "Bacterial small subunit ribosomal RNA", at positions 339 to 916 of the family's 1533-position model. Lineage: Bacteria; Pseudomonadati; Pseudomonadota; Betaproteobacteria; Burkholderiales; Burkholderiaceae. The record is from RNAcentral.